Molecule: ribosomal RNA, 1523 nt
Filed under: Stutzerimonas stutzeri
Lineage: Bacteria; Pseudomonadati; Pseudomonadota; Gammaproteobacteria; Pseudomonadales; Pseudomonadaceae
Description: bacterial SSU rRNA
Rfam family: Bacterial small subunit ribosomal RNA
Source: RNAcentral
GGAUCAGCGGCGCGACGGGUGAGUAAUGCCUAUCGAAUCUGCCUGGUAGUGGGGGACAACGUGUUCGAAAGGAACGCUAAGUACCGCAUACGUCCUACGGGAGAAAGCAGGGGACCUUCGGGCCUUGCGCUAUCAGAUGAGCCUAGGUCGGAUUAGCUAGUUGGUGGGGUAAAGGCCUACCAAGGCGACGAUCCGUAACUGGUCUGAGAGGAUGAUCAGUCACACUGGAACUGAGACACGGUCCAGACUCCUACGGGAGGCAGCAGUGGGGAAUAUUGGACAAUGGGCGAAAGCCUGAUCCAGCCAUGCCGCGUGUGUGAAGAAGGUCUUCGGAAUUGUAAAGACCACUUUAAGGUUGGGAAGGAAGAAGGGCAGUAAAUGUUAAAUACCCUUGCUGUGUUUGGACGUUACGUUCCAACCAGAAUAAGCCACCGGGCUUAACUUCGUGGCCAGCAGCCCGCGGUUAUAAUACGAAAGGGUGGCAGAGCCGUUAAUUUCGGAUUAUUACUUGGGCGUAUAAAGGCAUUGCGCGUUAGGGUGGUUUGGGUAACGAUGGGAUGUGGAAAUUCUCCCGGGGCUCCCAACCCUGGGGAAAUUGCAUCCCAUAUAACUGCCUGGACCUAGAGUUACGGUAGGAGGGUGGUUGGAAUUUCCUGUGUGUAAGCGGUGAAAAAUGCGUAGGAUGAUAUAGGAAGGGAAUCACCAGUGGGCGAAGGGCGAACCACCUUGGACUGAUACUUGACACUGAUGGUGCGAAAGCGUGGGGGAGCAAACAGGAUUUAGAUACCCCUGGUAGUCCCACGCCGUAAAACGAUGUCGACUAUGCCGUUGGAAUCCUUUGAGAUCUUAAGUGGCGCAAGCUAACCGCGAUUAAGUCCGACCGCCUUGGGGAGUUAACGGCCCGGCAAGGUUUAAAAACUCAAAUUGGAAUUGGACGGGGGCCCCGCACAAGCGCGGUGGAAGCAUGUGGUUUUAAAUUCCGAAGGCAACGCCGCGAAGAACCUUAACCUGGGCCCUUGACAUGUUCCCGGAAUCUUUGCAAGAGAUGGCGGAGAGUGCCUCUUCCGGGAAUCGGAAACCACAGGUGCUUGCAUGGGCCUGUUCGUCAGCUCCCUGUGUCCGUGAAGAUGGUUGGGUUUAAGGUCCCGUAACGAGCGCAACCCUUGUCCUUAGUUACCAGCACGUUAAGGUGGGCACUCUAAGGAGACUGCCGGUGACAAACCGGAGGAAGGUGGGGAUGACGUCAAGUCAUCAUGGCCCUUACGGCCAGGGCUACACACGUGCUACAAUGGUCGGUACAGAGGGUUGCCAAGCCGCGAGGUGGAGCUAAUCCCAUAAAACCGAUCGUAGUCCGGAUCGCAGUCUGCAACUCGACUGCGUGAAGUCGGAAUCGCUAGUAAUCGUGAAUCAGAAUGUCACGGUGAAUACGUUCCCGGGCCUUGUACACACCGCCCGUCACACCAUGGGAGUGGGUUGCUCCAGAAGUAGCUAGUCUAACCGCAAGGGGGACGGUAUCUAUAUUC